This 253-nucleotide ribosomal RNA is filed under the name uncultured bacterium. RNAcentral's name for it is "partial 16S ribosomal RNA". It matches the Rfam family "Bacterial small subunit ribosomal RNA", at positions 524 to 776 of the family's 1533-position model. The record is from RNAcentral.
UACAGAGGUCUCAAGCGUUGUUCGGAUUCAUUGGGCGUAAAGGGUGCGUAGGUGGUGAUGCAAGUCUGGUGUGAAAUCUUGGAGCUUAACUCCGAAACUGCAUUCGAUACUGCCGUACUUGAGGACUGGAGAGGAGACUGGAAUUUACGGUGUAGCGGUGAAAUGCGUAGAUAUCGUAAGGAAGACCAGUGGCGAAGGCGGGUCUCUGGACAGUUCCUGACGCUGAGGCACGAAGGCCAGGGGAGCAAACGGG